UACACUCCUACGGGAGGCAGCAGUGGGGAAUUUUGGACAAUGGGGGCAACCCUGAUCCAGCAAUGCCGCGUGAGUGAAGAAGGCCUUCGGGUUGUAAAGCUCUUUUGUCAGGGAAGAAACGGUGGUGGCGAAUAACUACUACUAAUGACGGUACCUGAAGAAUAAGCACCGGCUAACUACGUGCCAGCAGCCGCGGUAAUACGUAGGGUGCAAGCGUUAAUCGGAAUUACUGGGCGUAAAGCGUGCACAGGCGGUUGUGUAAGUCAGAUGUGAAAUCCCCGGGCUCAACCUGGGAAUUGCAUUUGAGACUGCACGGCUAGAGUGUGUCAGAGGGGGGUAGAAUUCCACGUGUAGCAGUGAAAUGCGUAGAUAUGUGGAGGAAUACCGAUGGCGAAGGCAGCCCCCUGGGAUAACACUGACGCUCAUGCACGAAAGCGUGGGGAGCAAACAGGAUUAGAUACCCCUGUAGUCCCA
RNAcentral lists this ribosomal RNA (474 nucleotides) under uncultured organism. RNAcentral describes it as "partial 16S ribosomal RNA". It matches the Rfam family "Bacterial small subunit ribosomal RNA", at positions 332 to 797 of the family's 1533-position model. The record is from RNAcentral.